UCUGUGAGACUGGUAUGGAUGAGGC
This 25-nucleotide non-coding RNA is filed under the name Cricetulus griseus (Chinese hamster). Lineage: Eukaryota; Metazoa; Chordata; Mammalia; Rodentia; Cricetidae. The record is from RNAcentral.